CUUGGAUGUGCUCUUAGUGCCCCGCUGACAUCUUACCAAACCAUCUAUGCUCUGCCCAUGCUCACCAUCAAGGAGGACAAAGCUGCCCAUCAUUGAGAUCCCUGGCUAUGGGAAUCUGUCGGCUCCUCCAGUUCUGUGACCAGUUGACAAUCCCGAGCCAGAAUGACCGUGAGAAGCUGGCAGAGGCCAAGGAGAGGGGCUAUGAAGGAAUCAUGCAGGUUGAAGGCUACAAGGGCCGAAAAAGUGCAGGACGUCAAUAAACCCAUCCAAAAGACAAUGAUGGAGGAGGAGGUUUUUUUUUGGUCCUGUGUGCUUGUUGCUAUAGGAACAAGGUUGCCAUGGGACCAGCAGUGGCUAAUCGAGUCCCUGUCUGACUCGACCAUUUACAUGGCCUACGACACCGUGGCUCACUUCCUCUAGGGGGAGUGCUCAACGGACAGGGACCUUCGCCUCAAGGGAUCAAGUAUGCACCACUCUCUACUCUCACAUGGUCAUUUAAUUUAGUGGAAAUAGGCUUCUGUAGAUGCAGACUGAGGGCAUUAUAACUCCUUAAUAUGACCUUUUCAACACAUUAUUACAAUAGAGAAAGUUUGUAUUGUAAUAGUUGGAGAUAUGAUUAUAAUGUACUAUUUUGCACAUGCAUAUACAGUUGAAGUCGGAAGUUUACAUACACCUUAGCCAAAUACAUUUAAACUCAGUUUUUCACAAUUCCUGACAUUUAAUCCUAGUAAAGAUUCCCUGUCUUAGGUCAGUUAAGAUCACCACUUUCUUUUAAGAAUGUGA
RNAcentral lists this long non-coding RNA (783 nucleotides) under Salmo trutta (river trout). Its description in RNAcentral is "lncRNA (ENSSTUG00000005493.1)". The record is from RNAcentral. Lineage: Eukaryota; Metazoa; Chordata; Actinopteri; Salmoniformes; Salmonidae.